RNAcentral lists this ribosomal RNA (472 nucleotides) under uncultured bacterium. RNAcentral describes it as "partial 16S ribosomal RNA". It matches the Rfam family "Bacterial small subunit ribosomal RNA", at positions 28 to 507 of the family's 1533-position model. The record is from RNAcentral.
GACGAACGCUGGCGGCGUGCUUAACACAUGCAAGUCGAACGAUGAACCCGGAGCUUGCUCUGGGGGAUUAGUGGCGAACGGGUGAGUAACACGUGAGUAACCUGCCCUGGACUCUGGGAUAAGCGUUGGAAACGACGUCUAAUACCGGAUAGGACCUUGGAUCGCAUGAUCUGGGGUGGAAAGUUUUUUCGGUCUGGGAUGGACUCGCGGCCUAUCAGCUUGUUGGUGAGGUAAUGGCUCACCAAGGCGUCGACGGGUAGCCGGCCUGAGAGGGUGACCGGCCACAUUGGGACUGAGACACGGCCCAGACUCCUACGGGAGGCAGCAGUGGGGAAUAUUGCACAAUGGGCGAAAGCCUGAUGCAGCAACGCCGCGUGCGGGAUGACGGCCUUCGGGUUGUAAACCGCUUUUAGUAGGGAAGAAGGGCUUCGGCUUGACGGUACCUGCAGAAAAAGGACCGGCUAACUACGUG